GACGAACGCUGGCGGCGUGCUUAACACAUGCAAGUCGAACGAAGAGCGAUGGAAGCUUGCUUCUAUCAAUCUUAGUGGCGAACGGGUGAGUAACGCGUAAUCAACCUGCCCUUCAGAGGGGGACAACAGUUGGAAACGACUGCUAAUACCGCAUACGAUCUAACCUCGGCAUCGAGGAAAGAUGAAAGGUGGCCUCUAUGUAUAAGCUAUCACUGAAGGAGGGGAUUGCGUCUGAUUAGCUAGUUGGAGGGGUAACGGCCCACCAAGGCGAUGAUCAGUAGCCGGUCUGAGAGGAUGAACGGCCACAUUGGGACUGAGACACGGCCCAGACUCCUACGGGAGGCAGCAGUGGGGAAUCUUCCGCAAUGGACGAAAGUCUGACGGAGCAACGCCGCGUGAGUGAUGACGGCCUUCGGGUUGUAAAGCUCUGUUAAUCGGGACGAAAGGCCUUCUUGCGAAUAGUUAGAAGGAUUGACGGUACCGGAAUAGAAAGCCACGGCUAACUACGUGCCAGCAGCCGCGGUAAUACGUACGUGGCAAGCGU
RNAcentral lists this ribosomal RNA (544 nucleotides) under uncultured Veillonella sp. Its description in RNAcentral is "bacterial SSU rRNA". It matches the Rfam family "Bacterial small subunit ribosomal RNA", at positions 28 to 541 of the family's 1533-position model. The record is from RNAcentral. Lineage: Bacteria; Bacillati; Bacillota; Negativicutes; Veillonellales; Veillonellaceae.